Molecule: small nuclear RNA, 345 nt
Filed under: Erinaceus europaeus (western European hedgehog)
Lineage: Eukaryota; Metazoa; Chordata; Mammalia; Eulipotyphla; Erinaceidae
Description: 7SK RNA
Rfam family: 7SK RNA
About the family: 7SK was discovered as an abundant small nuclear RNA in the mid-70s but a possible function has only recently been suggested.
Source: Rfam by way of RNAcentral
GGAUGUGAGGGUGAUCUGGCUGUGACAUCUGUCACCCCAUUGAUUGCCAGGGUUGAUUCAGCUGAUCUGGCUGGCUAGGCGGGUGUCCCCUUCCUCCCUCACCGCUCCAUUUGUGUCCCUCCCAAAGCUGCGCGCUUGGUCAAAGACAGCCUUCCCUGAAUAGAGACUGACUGGUCUUUGGGUACAGGAGUAGCUGUGCUCCCCUGCUAGAACCUCCAAACAAGCCCUCUUUACCUCUUACCCUCUAUCUGUAACAAGCACAGAUUGUCAAGAAGCCAAUACAGACUGAUGGACAAAUAUAAACUAAAAUGCAGGCAGAGUAAGUAAGGCUUGAUGAUGUUAAGU